CAGUCGCCGCGGGAAUACGAAGGGUGCAAGCGUUAAUCGGAAUUACUGGGCGUAAAGCGUGCGCAGGCGGUUCGUUAAGACAGAUGUGAAAUCCCCGGGCUUAACCUGGGAACUGCAUUUGUGACUGGCGAGCUAGAGUAUGGCAGAGGGGGGUAGAAUUCCACGUGUAGCAGUGAAAUGCGUAGAGAUGUGAAGGAAUACCGAUGGCGAAGGCAGCCCCCUGGGCCAAUACUGACGCUCAUGCACGAAAGCGUGGGGAGCAAACAGGAUUAGAUACCCCUGUAGUCCCUGUCUCUUAUAC
Molecule: ribosomal RNA, 301 nt
Filed under: uncultured bacterium
Lineage: Bacteria
Description: partial 16S ribosomal RNA
Rfam family: Bacterial small subunit ribosomal RNA
Source: RNAcentral